This is a long non-coding RNA of Gallus gallus (chicken), 1712 nucleotides long. The record is from Ensembl. Lineage: Eukaryota; Metazoa; Chordata; Aves; Galliformes; Phasianidae.
CGGGAGCCGGGAUUUCCCGGCGGGUUGCGGAGCCCCCCGGACGCGGGGCGCGGGAGCUCGGGGCUGGCAGCGGGGCGUGGGCAGUGGGCGUUAUACGGGCUGAGGACGCGUAAGCUUCGCUCGACAUCGUUGAGGAAAGCGGCAGCAGCGAGCCGGGGGACUGAGAACUGGACUUUAAUUAAAAGUAGCGAAACUGUGCGCGGCCUUCCAUUAAUAAAGCAGCGUGGUACUCGGGAGCAACAGCGGAACGGCGUCGGUGUGCGAUCCAAAUGGAAGCUGCUUGCAAUUCUUUACUCAGAGGGUGGUGAGGCAUUGGCACAGGCUGCCCAGAGGAGCUGUGGAUGCCCCAUCCCUGGAGACAUUCUGGGCCAGGAUGGAUGGGACCCUGAGCCUUCUGAUCUGCUGAGUGGCAGCCCUGCCCGUGGCGAGGGGUUGGAAAUGAAUGAUCUUAGAGAUUCCUUCCAAUCCAAACCUUUCUAUGCUUCUGUGGUCUCGGAGGAUCACACCUGCCUGAAACAGCUGGCCAAAUCCAGCCAACAUUGAGAUGCUACAGAAGCAGGCUUUUACCAAUCUUAUCAUCUCCAGAAAUACAUCUGUAACUAAAAAGGCAUCCAGCAAAAGUUGCUUUUGAGCAUAGCUAUUAACAAUGGUAUGCAAACACGUCUGUUUGUGACUUGUGGUUUUGAAUUGGCGCUGUCCCAUAAGCGGUGAGAGCAAACGCGGGCCAAGCUGUUGGAUCCACAACGUGCAACUGGUACACAAGCUGUGCUUCGGCAGCACUGUUACGUUGAGAUAAGCAGGAGCAUGUGUAGUAAAUAGCAGAAGGAUCUGCUCCAGGAUGCACACUGAUGCUGAGGAAGGGAAUCACCAAAAUGAGCAGCGUUUGGUGGCACCUGGCAGCCAACAAAGCCUUCCCGAGGAAGAGCAGUGAGUGCAGGGGUACCUAAUGGCUGGACAUAAGUACCACUUAAAUCCCUGGCACCAGCAGGGAGGAGUGCAGGAGGGUGGGAGCCUCACGGGCAGGCUGCAGGCGGCCCAGUGGAGCAUGCCCCGAUGGCCCUACGCUGCCUGCUGCCUAGCAGGGCCAGGAGCGCCCAGCUCACUGCUGGCUGAGGCGCGGGAACAGGCCGAGUGCCUGGAACCCAACUGCUGGCUGGGGCUGGAGCCUCCUCGUUAAAUGAAUCAUUCAUUAGGCAGAAAAAGGCAUACUGAGGACCAAACAACAACUUCAUUAUUCUGUAUUUCGACCCUUUUUCCUCCUCCGAAGAAAGAAUUACUUCCCACACGGCUACAGCGGAGAAUCUGAAGGAAUAAUGAGCUUUCCGAAUCGCUCAUGUGAAGCAGAAAUAAAACAAGAGGAAGGAGCUCCCCGUGUGUCUCUCUGUUCUCCUCACAGAACUCAGAGGAAGAGCCCUUCUGUUUCAGUGCGGGCUUGGCCAGCUGCUUCCUUCUCCAGUUCUUUCUCCCCUUUCCUCUGAACCAAAUUGUUCAGCAGUCUUGUGACUAAACCCAGGAGUUCACAGAUUUGGAUCUUGUCUCUUUAUUUAAAUCAAAUGUGUACAAAAUGAUGCACGGCCACACAAAGGGGAGCAAGGAUUGGAAAUAAACUCUGUGCUGCUGGGAGCCUUGAUUUCUGCAAUAAAUAAGUCGAGGAGAUGUUUUAUACAUUAAAGUGGGGGUAAUGUUUUAUACAUUAUGUUAUUAAAUAUUUU